GAGAUCCCAGGGAGCUUCCCCUCAGCAGUAUCUCCACUGGACAAGUUUGUGGGAUGGUGUGGCAGUCCAAUAAUGGCUCAUGAUCUGUGUAAGGUUGAGGAGCUCAUGUUCUUCAAGUUUGGGAAUCCAGAAUGUGACUGGUCUGGCCCUGUUGAUCAUGGAAGGGGAAAUGGAGACUGGCAGCUGAAGCUCUCCAACAGGAAUGGGACAUCCUCCACACUGCAUCAGUAAUGUGGAACAAAGAUAUUUGGUGUGUGACGAUCCUCUGACCUGUCAUGUCCUUGCCCCUGAUCUUGUAACAAAGUGAAGUUAUCACUGGAUGUCUUUGUAUACAGCUAUGAUCUGUUCUCUAGUGUUGUGGUACCAAGGGAUAACAUCUUGAUGCUUUAUUGAUCAGUGGGAGGAUAGUAAUUUAAGGUACUGUAAUCCUCAGUGGCAGCUUUGCUUGGAUGACCAUUUUCGUAACUUCCAGUAUUUUACAUCAGUUUGGGUAAUGCAGGUCCUAAAAUGAUUUCAGUAUAGAAGCUGCUGUGCUCCAGUUCCCCAAAAGCAGGGCUGCAAGAGUCUCUUCUUAAUCCAGAGCACAUACAGCUUUGUUACUAAAGUGCAGGUAGAGUACAUUUGAGUGACUUAAUAGAUUUAAUUGCUGUCCAGUACAUGGUUAAGUUGCAAUUUAGUACAACCGCUUCACAUGUGGCUUUGGGGAGUGAGGGGAAGGCAUGGAAUUACUUGGUAACUUAACAAAUGUAGAGGGUUUAACAAAGCUUGCAUUAGUGUUGCAUAUGCAGACCUUCCUUGAAGGUGUGCAAGAAUAGAGCUGGUCCUUAACAUUUCAGGACCUAAUAGUUUUGAUGGUUAGAAGGGUUGUACCCCCACUGUAGUCACUUUACUACCAUGCAAAACUGUCCUUUUCAUAGUUUUUGUCCCAAGUAUUUUAUAAAUUGCUUGCGAUUGACUUCAUCUGUUGGGGGAGGGAAUGCACCAACCCCUGCCAAUAUAGCCUCUACCAGCUAGAGAAGUGAGAUGUAUAAUGAAGGGGAAAUUACAGUAAUGGUCUGGAUUUUCAUCUUCUGUACUAAUCUUGAGUAAGCUUAGACUUUCUUUGUAUGAGAUCAAGCUAUAAGGUAGUAAUACUGUUCUUGUUUUUCCAGAUCUGCUUCUGAACUGAAGCGGUGGGGAGUUUCUGUUUAACAAAGCUUAGAAACCGGAGACGAGCGCUAUUGUCGGCUGUGAGGCUGAAGUACCUGUAGCUCCUAUUGGUCAGUUGUUUAUAAACUGAGGAGAGGUUUCUAUUGGUCAACAAGAGGAGGCACCUGUUCAAUUCCUAUUGGCCAGACGUAAGGAACUGAGCAACCAAUCAAAUCGUUACCCAGGUAGCCGGUGACGCUAGAUGACAGUCUUCAUAUCCUCCUGUAUGAAAGAGAGGAUAUUUGAAGUUCCUGAACGUAUAGAAGUAGUAGGAUUACAGACGCAUUUAAAUUAAAUAGAAGGCAACCUUCUAGCCUCAGAAUUUACGUCUUUAUAAAUUAUAACAUUUUGACCAUAAACGAAUUGGAGCAGAGGUCUUCUGUUUGACAACAUAAUCCACCUAUAACGAACAUCGUUGUGUGUGUACAUACACACGUGUUUCGUCUGUGUAUUAAAUGGUGUUAAUUUUGAACGCUGUGGACGUGGUUUCUAAUGCAAACUCUUCGCUAGAAGAGCCUUGAGCCGUGUUACUGUGACAGAGGUGUAGAAGCCAGAAAAUACAUUAUACUGUAGCGCAUACGCACGAUGGAUUUUCUUUUUUAAAAAAUAAAUGGUUACAUUUUU
This is a non-coding RNA of Lepisosteus oculatus (spotted gar), 1812 nucleotides long. The record is from RefSeq and is a predicted model, not a curated record. NCBI's taxonomy places the organism in Eukaryota, Metazoa, Chordata, Actinopteri, Semionotiformes, Lepisosteidae.